This 427-nucleotide ribosomal RNA is filed under the name uncultured bacterium. RNAcentral describes it as "bacterial SSU rRNA". It matches the Rfam family "Bacterial small subunit ribosomal RNA", at positions 355 to 774 of the family's 1533-position model. The record is from RNAcentral.
UAGGGAAUAUUGGACAAUGGGGGCAACCCUGAUCCAGCCAUGCCGCGUGAGUGAAGAAGGCCCUCGGGUUGUAAAGCUCUUUUGUCCGGAAAGAAAAGCAUUCGGUGAAUACCCGGAUGUUCUGACGGUACCGGAAGAAUAAGCACCGGCUAACUUCGUGCCAGCAGCCGCGGUAAUACGAAGGGUGCAAGCGUUACUCGGAAUUACUGGGCGUAAAGCGUGCGUAGGUGGUUGUUUAAGUCUGAUGUGAAAGCCCUGGGCUCAACCUGGGAAUGUCAUUGGAAACUGGGCAGCUAGAGUGCGGUAGAGGGUAGUGGAAUUCCCGGUGUAGCAGUGAAAUGCGUAGAGAUCGGGAGGAACAUCUGUGGCGAAGGCGACUGCCUGGACCAGCACUGACACUGAGGCACGAAAGCGUGGGGAGCAAACA